UACGUAGGGGGCAAGCGUUGUCCGGAUUUAUUGGGCGUAAAGAGCUCGUAGGCGGUUGGGUAAGUCGGGUGUGAAAACUCCAGGCUCAACUUGGAGAUGCCACCCGAUACUGCUCUGACUUGAGUUCGGUAGGGGAGUGGGGAAUUCCUGGUGUAGCGGUGGAAUGCGCAGAUAUCAGGAGGAACACCAAUAGCGAAGGCAGCUCGCUGGGACGUUACUGACACUAAGGCGCGAAAGCGUGGGGAGCGAACAGG
Molecule: ribosomal RNA, 254 nt
Filed under: uncultured bacterium
Lineage: Bacteria
Description: partial 16S ribosomal RNA
Rfam family: Bacterial small subunit ribosomal RNA
Source: RNAcentral